AAGGAUCAUUACCGAGUGAGGGCCCUCUGGGUCCAACCUCCCACCCGUGUUUAUCGUACCUUGUUGCUUCGGCGGGCCCGCCUCACGGCCGCCGGGGGGCACCCGCCCCCGGGCCCGCGCCCGCCGAAGACACCAUUGAACUCUGUCUGAAGAUUGCAGUCUGAGCGAUUAUAGCUAAAUCAGUUAAAACUUUCAACAACGGAUCUCUUGGUUCCGGCAUCGAUGAAGAACGCAGCGGAUCAUUACCGAGUGAGGGCCCUCUGGGUCCAACUCCCCCGUGUUUAUCGUACCUUGUUGCUUCGGCGGGCCGCCUCCGGCCGCCGGGGGGCACCGCCCGGGCGCGCCGCCGAAGACCCAUUGAACUCUGUCUGAAGAUUGCGUCUGAGCGAUUAUAGCUAAAUCGUUAAAACUUUCAAAGGAUCUCUUGGUUCGGCAUCAUGAAGAAC
Molecule: unclassified non-coding RNA, 446 nt
Filed under: Penicillium sp. Oh_1_6_1
Lineage: Eukaryota; Fungi; Ascomycota; Eurotiomycetes; Eurotiales; Aspergillaceae
Description: partial contains 18S rRNA, ITS1, 5.8S rRNA, ITS2 and 28S rRNA
Source: RNAcentral